This 352-nucleotide long non-coding RNA is filed under the name Hordeum vulgare. Its description in RNAcentral is "long non-coding RNA (HVUL_LNC009394)". The record is from RNAcentral. Lineage: Eukaryota; Viridiplantae; Streptophyta; Magnoliopsida; Poales; Poaceae.
CAUUACGUGCCACUAAAAAAUGACAAUGAAUAACUUACUGAGAACUCCAUGUUGUCGUCAUGCACAAAAAAUCUUUUUGUACAACUAAAUCCUAGUAACAUGUUGAGAACCAGUAUAUUUUUAACACCGCAUGAGGCAGAUUUUCUGGAAAGAAAAUAAGUAGACAUAAAAAUAUUUUCUCACCAUGUCCUCCAACAAUAAAGUGAUACCAAUGACCUUUUAGAUUAGUAUCAGUGUGUUUCACUCCAGCCAUGUCUUAGUGAAAUAAAUGACAAUAACAAGAAAGAACAAAAUAAUGUUGCAGAUGUAGAAAGUAAAUGAGUAACUCCUGGACUGAUUCCUUCGUUAAAAC